AAGUCGUAACAAGGUUUCCGUAGGUGAACCUGCGGAAGGAUCAUUACCUAGAGUUUGUGGGCUUUGCCUGCUAUCUCUUACCCAUGUCUUUUGAGUACUUACGUUUCCUCGGUGGGUUCGCCCGCCGAUUGGACAAUUUAAACCCUUUGCAGUUGCAAUCAGCGUCUGAAAAACAUAAUAGUUACAACUUUCAACAACGGAUCUCUUGGUUCUG
RNAcentral lists this unclassified non-coding RNA (214 nucleotides) under Phoma sp. Its description in RNAcentral is "partial contains small subunit ribosomal RNA, internal transcribed spacer 1, and 5.8S ribosomal RNA". The stretch from base 1 to 46 matches the Rfam family "Eukaryotic small subunit ribosomal RNA", at positions 1786 to 1831 of the family's 1831-position model. The record is from RNAcentral. Lineage: Eukaryota; Fungi; Ascomycota; Dothideomycetes; Pleosporales; Didymellaceae.